Cannabis sativa is the source of this 1847-nucleotide long non-coding RNA. RefSeq lists it as uncharacterized. The record is from RefSeq and is a predicted model, not a curated record. The transcript is spliced from 2 exons. Lineage: Eukaryota; Viridiplantae; Streptophyta; Magnoliopsida; Rosales; Cannabaceae.
UAUAAGCAUGGCUAGCUAUUAGAUACUAGUGGUAUUUAAUACUUGUUAGAGGUAACAUUUUGUAACUAGUAAUAUUUUAUAAAAAUUAUUAUAUUAAAUUAUACGAGAUAAAAUAUUUAAUUAAGGUGCAUUAGCUAAACACCUUUUUCAGUAUUUCUCAAAAUGAAUAAUAUAUAUAUAUCUGGAGAUUAGAGAGGAGCAGUUUAUAUUAUAAACAGAAAGCCAAGCCAAAGUGCAUCAAUGUGUAUAAUAUUAUAUUUAUGUUAUAUUUGAAAUCUAUAUUUAAUUAAAGCCCAAAAACGGCCAUGAAACAAUCCGGAAGAACCACCCAAUCCAAGGCUGUAAGUUUGUCUUAUGCAGUGGCUUUGGCACAUAGGGGGUCGCCUUUUCCAAUGCACGAAACAGCCAAACUAAUAAUCCCACAAAAUUGCUUAGCUGCCAACUUAUCAGAUAUAUGGACACACAACACACACACAUCUAAUGUACAGUAUUGUUUCUCGUCUCACAGUUUGUUCUUUUUUUUUCAUUAUUUAUUAUAUAUAAAAAGCCACAGCUAUUGACAUGUUUUUAUACAUCUUUGCCUUCAAAAUCUAAAAUUAUUAUUAGCAGGAAAUGAUAUGGUAAGUGGCAAAAAGAUUGGAAAAAAAAUAAGAGAAAAAAUUUAUCAGCCGUCUCUACAAAGUCCCAUCUCAUCACAAAUUCUCCGGCUGGAUUUUGUGCUGUCUUUGCCUAAAGAGCAUAUUAUAAAGAAAGAGGAGCCACUUUUGUUGAACUUAAUUCCUCCUUUCACAAAAUAUAGUAUUGCAUCUCUCUUACAUCAUUUUCAUGGGUUUUAAUUGCCUCAUUAAUAAUGGUAAGUGAUCUAAUUGGGCUACAAUUAUUGUCAAGCAUACAUUUUUGUUUUUGUUACAUUAGUUUUUUUGCUGAAACUGAUACAUAUGCUUUGUUACAUAUUAGUUGGAAAAUGAUAUAUGCUUUGUGAUUUAUUAUUUUGUUAUAUGCUACUAUACAAAUAAAUGUAGUUCAUACUUAUCUUCUAGAGCUGUAAAUAUUUUCAAUGCUUCAUUAUUAGAAAAGGAAAAAAAACUGUUUCAAAAAAAAAAAAAUUGUUGUUUUUAUAGACGUGGUUAACGGCAUAAGAUAGGAAUUGAUAUUCAUAUUUUUUGUCGUUUUCUUUAAAAAAAAGUGUAAUAACUUUGAAAAAGAGAAAGAAAAACCAAUUUUCAUAGAAACUAAAAUUAUAAUUAGUUGAUUUUUUAGCUAAGAACUUUUGCAAAGUAACUUUUUUUCUUUAUAUUACUUUAAAAGUUGAGAGAACGUUUGGAACGCGUACAUGAUCCUUCUUACACGUAGAAAGACCAUACUGCUUUAAUGAACGUAUAUCUAAUUUGAUUGUGAAAUAUGAAUAUGUCAUAUCAUAUUAUCUCUCCGGACCCUCUUGGUUGUUAGAGUAAUUAAUUAAUUAGAUAUACAUUGAUCAUCAAAUUAAAUUAUUGCAUGAUUGCUUAUUGCAUUAUAAUGUAACAUCAUAUAUAUAUUUGUAUAUUGAUGAGUAAUGAGAUUUUACAUUUUAUGGAUCCAAAAAGAGUACAUAUUUACCAAUUAAGGGAAGGGAACGAAGAAUAAUCUCUGCCUGGCUCCCUGGAUGCCAUCUAAGAAACUUAGUCAAAAAAUAUUUGAUCUUUCGUAGUUGGCAUCACGGGAGUCAUGCAGGUUUAAUUUCAUUAAGAAUUAAUUUAUAAUUCAGCUGUCCAAAAGUAAAAGUUCAUUAAGAAGUUUGUUUGCUUUUUGUUAUUUUAAAAUACAUAUUAAGAUUAUGAAACACAAUUUAAUAUAUUGAUUGAUGA